RNAcentral lists this ribosomal RNA (482 nucleotides) under uncultured bacterium. Its description in RNAcentral is "bacterial SSU rRNA". It matches the Rfam family "Bacterial small subunit ribosomal RNA", at positions 33 to 507 of the family's 1533-position model. The record is from RNAcentral.
GACGACGCUGGCGGCGUGGAUUAGGCAUGCAAGUCGAACGGUAUCAGUCCUUUCGGGGGUGAGAGAGUGGCGAACUGGUGAGUAAUACAUCGGAACGUGCCCGAUCGUGGGGGAUAACGGAGCGAAAGCUUUGCUAAUACCGCAUACGAUCUACGGAUGAAAGCAGGGGACCGCAAGGCCUUGCGCGGACGGAGCGGCCGAUGGCAGAUUAGGUAGUUGGUGGGAUAAAAGCUUACCAAGCCGACGAUCUGUAGCUGGUCUGAGAGGACGACCAGCCACACUGGGACUGAGACACGGCCCAGACUCCUACGGGAGGCAGCAGUGGGGAAUUUUGGACAAUGGGCGCAAGCCUGAUCCAGCCAUGCCGCGUGCAGGAUGAAGGCCUUCGGGUUGUAAACUGCUUUUGUACGGAACGAAAAGACUCUUUCUAAUAAAGAGGGUCCAUGACGGUACCGUAAGAAUAAGCACCGGCUAACUACGUG